This 402-nucleotide ribosomal RNA is filed under the name uncultured bacterium. RNAcentral's name for it is "bacterial SSU rRNA". It matches the Rfam family "Bacterial small subunit ribosomal RNA", at positions 355 to 774 of the family's 1533-position model. The record is from RNAcentral.
UGGGGAAUAUUGGACAAUGGGCGCAAGCCUGAUCCAGCCAUGCCGCGUGAGUGAUGAAGGCCCUAGGGUUGUAAAGCUCUUUCGGCGGGGACGAUAAUGACGGUACCCGCAGAAGAAGCCCCGGCUAACUUCGUGCCAGCAGCCGCGGUAAUACGAAGGGGGCUAGCGUUGUUCGGAAUCACUGGGCGUAAAGCGCAUGCAGGCGGAUCGUUAAGUCGGGGGUGAAAGCCCGAGGCUCAAUCUCGGAAUUGCCUUCGAUACUGGCGAUCUUGAGUCCGGGAGAGGUGAGUGGAAUUGCGAGUGUAGAGGUGAAAUUCGUAGAUAUUCGCAAGAACACCAGUGGCGAAGGCGGCUCACUGGCCCGGUACUGACGCUGAGAUGCGAAAGCGUGGGGAGCAAACA